This 61-nucleotide transfer RNA is filed under the name Sogatella kolophon. Its description in RNAcentral is "tRNA-Asp". Lineage: Eukaryota; Metazoa; Arthropoda; Insecta; Hemiptera; Delphacidae. The record is from RNAcentral.
AAGAGAUUAGUUUAAUAAAAACGUUAGAAUGUCAAAUUAAAAUUACCUUGAGUAUCUCUUU